This 147-nucleotide non-coding RNA is filed under the name uncultured Geminigera. Lineage: Eukaryota; Cryptophyceae; Pyrenomonadales; Geminigeraceae. The record is from RNAcentral.
GCAUUGUGAAAGGGAAAAAUAUAAAGGACCACAAGAAGAAAUGCAAGAAAAGACAAAAGAGAAAAUUUUCUUUUGUCUUUUCAUUAUCAUUUUCUUGUCGUUAUUCUUAUGUCUUUUCAUUAGAACAUGAUUUGAAAAUGAUGGAAG